UACGAAGGGGGCUAGCGUUGCUCGGAAUGACUGGGCGUAAAGGGCGCGUAGGCGGCGGUCACAGUCAGAUGUGAAAUUCCUGGGCUUAACCUGGGGGCUGCAUUUGAUACGUGGUUGCUUGAGUGGGGAAGAGGGUCGUGGAAUUCCCAGUGUAGCAGUGAAAUGCGUAGAUAUCGGGAGGAAUACCGAUGGCGAAGGCAGGUCUCUGGGCUGACACUGACGCUCAUGCACGAAAGCGUGGGGAGCAAACAGG
This 253-nucleotide ribosomal RNA is filed under the name uncultured bacterium. RNAcentral's name for it is "partial 16S ribosomal RNA". It matches the Rfam family "Bacterial small subunit ribosomal RNA", at positions 524 to 776 of the family's 1533-position model. The record is from RNAcentral.